Molecule: ribosomal RNA, 401 nt
Filed under: uncultured bacterium
Lineage: Bacteria
Description: bacterial SSU rRNA
Rfam family: Bacterial small subunit ribosomal RNA
Source: RNAcentral
GACGAACGCUGGCGGCGUGCUUAACACAUGCAAGUCGAGCGGUAAGGCCCUUUCGGGGGUACGACGAGCGGCGAACGGGUGAGUAACACGUGGGUGACCUGCCCUUAGCUCUGGGAUAAGCCUGGGAAACUGGGUCUAAUACCGGAUAUGACUCCAUGACGCAUGUUGUGGGGUGGAAAGCCUUGUGCGGCUAGGGAUGGGCCCGCGGCCUAUCAGCUUGUUGGUGGGGUGAUGGCCUACCAAGGCGACGACGGGUAGCCGGCCUGAGAGGGCGACCGGCCACACUGGGACUGAGACACGGCCCAGACUCCUACGGGAGGCAGCAGUGGGGAAUCUUGCGCAAUGGGCGAAAGCCUGACGCAGCGACGCCGCGUGAGGGAUGACGGCCUCGGUGUAACUAC